This 30-nucleotide non-coding RNA is filed under the name Mus musculus (house mouse). The record is from RNAcentral. Lineage: Eukaryota; Metazoa; Chordata; Mammalia; Rodentia; Muridae.
UAAAAGAUGACUGCUCAUUCUGUCUUCCUC